UACGUAGGGGGCAAGCGUUGUCCGGAUUUAUUGGGCGUAAAGAGCGUGUAGGCGGCCAGGUAGGUCUGCUGUGAAAACUCGAGGCUUAACCUCGAGAUGUCGGCGGAAACCAUCUGGCUAGAGUCCGGAAGAGGAGAGUGGAAUUCCGUGGAUGUAGCGGUGAAAUGCGCAGAUAUCAGGAGGAACGACCGGUGGCGAAGGCGGGUCUCUGGGCGAGUAACUGACGCUGAGGAACGAAAGCGUGGGUAGCAAACAGG
This 257-nucleotide ribosomal RNA is filed under the name uncultured bacterium. Its description in RNAcentral is "partial 16S ribosomal RNA". It matches the Rfam family "Bacterial small subunit ribosomal RNA", at positions 524 to 776 of the family's 1533-position model. The record is from RNAcentral.